Molecule: ribosomal RNA, 263 nt
Filed under: uncultured bacterium
Lineage: Bacteria
Description: partial 16S ribosomal RNA
Rfam family: Bacterial small subunit ribosomal RNA
Source: RNAcentral
CUUAGUGGCGGACGGGUGAGUAACGCGUGGGGAACCUGCCCUGUACAGGGGGAUAACACUUAGAAAUAGGUGCUAAUACCGCAUAAGCGCACUGUGUCGCAUGAUACAGUGUGAAAAACUCCGGUGGUACAGGAUGGACCCGCGUCUGAUUAGCUGGUUGGCGGGGUAACGGCCCACCAAGGCGACGAUCAGUGGCCGGCCUGAGAGGGUGAACGGCCACAUUGGGACUGAGACACGGCCCAAACUCCUACGGAAGGCAGCAG